RNAcentral lists this unclassified non-coding RNA (158 nucleotides) under uncultured Helotiales. Its description in RNAcentral is "sequence contains ITS1". The record is from RNAcentral. Lineage: Eukaryota; Fungi; Ascomycota; Leotiomycetes; Helotiales.
CAGAGUUCAUGCCCUCACGGGUAGAUCUCCCACCCUUGAAUAUUAUACCUUUGUUGCUUUGGCGGACCGCUUCGGCUACCGGCUCCGGCUGGUAAGUGUCCGCCAGAGUCAAACCAAACUCUUAUCAUUAGUGUCGUCUGAGUACUAUAUAAUAGUUA